This 24-nucleotide non-coding RNA is filed under the name Arabidopsis thaliana (thale cress). The record is from RNAcentral. Lineage: Eukaryota; Viridiplantae; Streptophyta; Magnoliopsida; Brassicales; Brassicaceae.
UGUAAUUGCCAUCUGAUUGAGCAA